This 424-nucleotide ribosomal RNA is filed under the name uncultured bacterium. RNAcentral's name for it is "bacterial SSU rRNA". It matches the Rfam family "Bacterial small subunit ribosomal RNA", at positions 608 to 1029 of the family's 1533-position model. The record is from RNAcentral.
CUUAACCUACAGACUGCGUUUGAAACUGUAUAUCUUGAGAGCAGCAGGGGAAGGCGGAAUUCCUGGUGUAGUGGUGAAAUACGUAGAUAUCAGGAAGAACACCAGUGGCGAAGGCGGUCUUCUGGGCUGCAUCUGACGCUCAUGUACGAAAGCUGGGGUAGCGAACGGGAUUAGAUACCCCGGUAGUCCCAGCUGUAAACGAUGGACACUAGGUGUUGGAGGUUCGAAUCCUUCAGUGCCGGAGUUAACGCAUUAAGUGUCCCGCCUGGGGAAUACGGUCGCAAGACUGAAACUCAAAGGAAUUGACGGGGGCCCGCACAAGCGGUGGAGCAUGUGGUUUAAUUCGAUGCAACGCGAAGAACCUUACCGAGAAUUGACAUCCCGUGACUACCUGUGAGAGCAGGGUUUAGUGUUUACACUACAC